GUUUCCGUGGUGUAGCGGUUAUCACAUCUGCUUUACACGCAGAAGGUGCCCGGUUCGACGCCGGGCGGGAACA
This 73-nucleotide transfer RNA is filed under the name Schistocerca americana (American grasshopper). Its description in RNAcentral is "tRNA-Val". It matches the Rfam family "tRNA". From Rfam's summary of the family: Transfer RNA (tRNA) molecules are approximately 80 nucleotides in length. Their secondary structure includes four short double-helical elements and three loops (D, anti-codon, and T loops). Lineage: Eukaryota; Metazoa; Arthropoda; Insecta; Orthoptera; Acrididae. The record is from RNAcentral.